RNAcentral lists this ribosomal RNA (341 nucleotides) under uncultured Pseudomonadota bacterium. RNAcentral's name for it is "bacterial SSU rRNA". It matches the Rfam family "Bacterial small subunit ribosomal RNA", at positions 29 to 351 of the family's 1533-position model. Lineage: Bacteria; Pseudomonadati; Pseudomonadota. The record is from RNAcentral.
AACGAACGCUGGCGGCGUGCCUAACACAUGCAAGUCGUGCGGGAAAGUUCCCUUCGGGGAGCGAGUAUAGCGGCGCACGGGUGAGUAAUACGUAGGUAACCUGCCCUUGAGACUGGGACAACCUGUCGAAAGACGGGCUAAUACCGGAUAAGACCACGGGAGCUGCGGCUUCCGCGGUAAAAGGUGGCCUCUGCUUGCAAGCUAUCACUCGAGGAUGGGCCUGCGUGCCAUUAGCUAGUUGGUGAGGUAACGGCUCACCAAGGCAGAGAUGGCUAGCUGGUCUGAGAGGAUGACCAGCCACACUGGGACUGAGACACGGCCCAGACUCCUACGGGAGGCAG